Molecule: long non-coding RNA, 1033 nt
Filed under: Homo sapiens (human)
Lineage: Eukaryota; Metazoa; Chordata; Mammalia; Primates; Hominidae
Description: MYLK antisense RNA 1
Source: RNAcentral
ACCCUCUCCAGGCCCGCUGCUUCUGCCAGCUGGAUGUUGCGUCGUCCCUCGCUAUUCGCCCUCCUAUAAUCACUGCUUCCAUGUUGAAUCAAAACAAUUAUGCUUUCGUUCUCCCUUCUUCAAUUGCCCUAUCUUCACACCUGAACACUAUUGCUCCGGUAUCCUGCCAUUUUGGAUCAGGGCGGUUGACGGUGGAUUCACUUCCCAUCAGCCCUUGAGGCUGCAGGGACCAGCCCUUUGUGGAGAAGCCCAGGCGGCCUAGAAUCCAGUGUCGUCCGUGAGUGCUUGGCUGGUGUUCAAGUGCAUCUUCCAGCCUGAGACCGCGUGGACUCGCUCAUCGUGAGGGCGAGAGGAGGAUAAGCCCAUUGGGCUGUCGGCUGAGAGUGAGGUGCGGGACCAUCCACAAUAUUGUUUGAACAUCUGAAGACAUGGGGAACUUGCCAUCUGAUAUCUGAUAACAGACUUCCUGUAAAGCAGGACUGGUAGUUUCCUGAUAACAAAUUCUUCAAUAUGAAGCAGAUUGCUGAUGAAAUCCUUGGCAUCGUCGGAGAUCUCAUCGAAUGCCUCGUCGUCGAAGUCCCAGGUGGCUGAGGUAACGUUGGCCAAGGUUUCGUUAUCGUUGUCUCCCAUGAAGGGGGAAAGGCCACUGACUCUGGAGAGACAAGAGCAGGACAGCAGGUGUGGCUAGGAGAGGGCGCGACGACCAGAUGAGGGAAUUGAGGCACAGCCCAGGCUCAAGUCACCUGCCCAAAGAUUCACAGCCAGUGAGAUUGGAAGCCAGGUAUCUGCCUCUAGAGCCUGUCCUCUUAAAUGCUAUACUAUCCUAACAUUUCUGUAAAGAUGAAGUAAAUUGCAGUGUUCAGCACUGGCACCAGGCCUGGUCCACAGUAAGGAGGCGGUCCAUGCCCGGAGAUCUCAUGCAGUUCUGCUGGGUUCCCUCCACUGCCUUACCAAGCUGUGAGUGCAGGAAUGACUUUGUGACCAGCAGCUUAAGCCAAAUAAACUUUAUAAGGUAAAGAAUUUCAAAACAAAA